Molecule: long non-coding RNA, 408 nt
Organism: Ornithodoros turicata
Lineage: Eukaryota; Metazoa; Arthropoda; Arachnida; Ixodida; Argasidae
Exons: 3
Source: RefSeq, a predicted model, not a curated record
CUGGUGAUGACGCCCGAAUAGGUGUCGAAACGUUCACGCUUUUCUUUUUACAACUUGUUGUGCAAGCCAGUGUUUACUUCAUACUAUUAAAGAAAAAUGGAGUUGUUUAAAGUAGGAUCUCGGAGAGCGACAUCCACUGCAACGUUCCACACCUACUUGUAAAUGGAGGACGUCAUCUCGGCUUCUUUGAUUUCCUUCCUUCUGGACCAGUUGAUGAAUUCAUCUGCACCAGUUCACGACAGCGGGAAUGAUCAACAGUCUCAAGAGGACUGUUACCUGACUUGGUACUUACAUCGAUGUUGGACACAUUGCAAGGCAACAUAGCUUCGUCCAACUAUUCUCUCCAGUGAUCAGACACAUAUAGCUGUGAUGGGAGAGCGCAACAGAAAUAAAAUAAGUGCAUCUCCA